Molecule: ribosomal RNA, 468 nt
Filed under: uncultured bacterium
Lineage: Bacteria
Description: partial 16S ribosomal RNA
Rfam family: Bacterial small subunit ribosomal RNA
Source: RNAcentral
GACGAACGCUGGCGGCGUGCUUAACACAUGCCAGUCGAACGGAAAGGCGCUGCUUUUGUGGGGUGCUCGAGUGGCGAACGGGUGAGUAACACGUGAGUAACCUGCCCUUGACUUUGGGAUAACUUCAGGAAACUGGGGCUAAUACCGGAUAGGAGCUCCUGCUGCAUGGUGGGGGUUGGAAAGUUUCGGCGGUUGGGGAUGGACUCGCGGCUUAUGAGCUUGUUGGUGGGGUAGUGGCUGACAAAGGCUUUGACGGGUAGCCGGCCUGGGAGGGUGACCGGCCACAAGGGGACUACGGGACGGCCCAGAAGCGUACGGGAGGCAGUAGGGGGGAAUAUUGCACAAUGGGCGGAAGCCUGAUGCAGCAACGCCGCGUGCGGGAUGACGGGCUUCGGGGUGUAAACCGCUUUCGCCUGUGACGAAGCGUGAGUGACGGUAAUGGGUAAAGAAGCACCGGCUAACUACGUG